Small nuclear RNA from Nomascus leucogenys (northern white-cheeked gibbon), 62 nucleotides. Its record names the gene U7. It matches the Rfam family "U7 small nuclear RNA". From Rfam's summary of the family: Animal histone pre-mRNAs are spliced by a different mechanism than nuclear pre-mRNAs and self-splicing introns. This processing involves the U7 snRNP, which contains only one RNA species: U7. Lineage: Eukaryota; Metazoa; Chordata; Mammalia; Primates; Hylobatidae. The record is from Ensembl.
AAGUGUUACAGAUCUUUUAGAAUUUGUCUAGCAGGUUUUCAGGUAUUCACUGGAAGACUCCC